UGAUCUAGCCAUGGGCAGGUUGAAGGUUGGGUAACACUAACUGGAGGACCGAACCGACUAAUGUUGAAAAAUUAGCGGAUGACCUGUGGCUGGGGGUGAAAGGCCAAUCAAACCGGGAGAUAGCUGGUUCUCCCCGAAAGCUAUUUAGGUAGCGCCUCGUGAAUUCAUCUCCGGGGGUAGAGCACUGUUUCGGCUAGGGGGCCAUCCCGGCUUACCAACCCGAUGCAAACUGCGAAUACCGGAGAAUGUUAUCACGGGAGACACACGGCGGGUGCUAACGUCCGUCGUGAAGAGGGAAACAACCCAGACCGCCAGCUAAGGUCCCAAAGUCAUGGUUAAGUGGGAAACGAUGUGGGAAGGCCCAGACAGCCAGGAUGUUGGCUUAGAAGCAGCCAUCAUUUAAAGAAAGCGUAAUAGCUCACUGGUCGAGUCGGCCUGCGCGGAAGAUGUAACGGGGCUAAACCAUGCACCGAAGCUGCGGCAGCGACGCUGAUGCGUUGUUGGGUAGGGGAGCGUUCUGUAAGCCUGCGAAGGUGGCCUGUGAGGGUUGCUGGAGGUAUCAGAAGUGCGAAUGCUGACAUAAGUAACGAUAAAGCGGGUGAAAAGCCCGCUCGCCGGAAGACCAAGGGUUCCUGUCCAACGUUAAUCGGGGCAGGGUGAGUCGACCCCUAAGGCGAGGCCGAAAGGCGUAGUCGAUGGGAAACGGGUUAAUAUUCCCGUACUUGGUGUUACUGCGAAGGGGGGACGGAGAAGGCUAUGUUGGCCGGGCGACGGUUGUCCCGGUUUAAGCGUGUAGGUGUGUGUUCCAGGUAAAUCCGGUUCACUUUAACACUGAGGCGUGACGACGAGGCACUACGGUGCUGAAGCAACAAAUGCCCUGCUUCCAGGAAAAGCCUCUAAGCAUCAGGUAACAUCAAAUCGUACCCCAAACCGACACAGGUGGUCAGGUAGAGAAUACCAAGGCGCUUGAGAGAACUCGGGUGAAGGAACUAGGCAAAAUGGUGCCGUAACU
RNAcentral lists this ribosomal RNA (1012 nucleotides) under Salmonella enterica. RNAcentral describes it as "partial 23S ribosomal RNA". It matches the Rfam family "Bacterial large subunit ribosomal RNA", at positions 726 to 1735 of the family's 2925-position model. The record is from RNAcentral. Lineage: Bacteria; Pseudomonadati; Pseudomonadota; Gammaproteobacteria; Enterobacterales; Enterobacteriaceae.